GAUGAAGAACGUAGCGAAAUGCGAUAAGUAAUGUGAAUUGCAGAAUUCAGUGAAUCAUCGAAUCUUUGAACUCACAUUGCGCCCGCCAGCAUUCUGGCGGGCAUGCCUGUUCGAGCGUCAUUUCAACCCUCGAGCCCCCCCGGGGGCCUCGGUGUUGGGGGACGGCACACCAGCCGCCCCCGAAAUGCAGUGGCGACCCCGCCGCAGCCUCCCCUGCGUAGUAGCACACACCUCGCACCGGAGCGCGGAGGCGGUCACGCCGUAAAACGCCCAACUUUCUUAGAGUUGACCUCGGAUCAGGUAGGAAUACCCGCUGAACUUAAGCAUAUCAAUAAGCGGAGGA
This 343-nucleotide unclassified non-coding RNA is filed under the name soil metagenome. Its description in RNAcentral is "partial contains 5.8S ribosomal RNA, internal transcribed spacer 2, and large subunit ribosomal RNA". The stretch from base 1 to 120 matches the Rfam family "5.8S ribosomal RNA", at positions 35 to 154 of the family's 154-position model. The record is from RNAcentral.